Long non-coding RNA from Coregonus clupeaformis (lake whitefish), 737 nucleotides. RefSeq lists it as uncharacterized. Lineage: Eukaryota; Metazoa; Chordata; Actinopteri; Salmoniformes; Salmonidae. The record is from RefSeq and is a predicted model, not a curated record. The transcript has 5 exons.
GACUAAGAAAAUCUUGGUCAACCAACAGCCUAUCGACCAAACAAUCGACCAGUGGACUAAAUGGGGUUAGCCCUAAUUUACUGGGACAUCUACUCAAUGUGAACUAGGGAUGUGCACGAUUAUUUGAAUAUCAGAACGGACAUUAGUAUUUUAAUACUUGUGACAUCAACACUGGAGGUAUUGUUGCAGGGGUGAUCGUGGCUCUCCUAGCCCUGGCCCUGCUGGGCUUCGGACUGUGGUACGCCGGCUGCAAAGGAUACCUGCCUAAAAAGAGUGAAAGCAAACCCAAACCCUCAGUGGUCUACCAGCCAACAUCUGAGUAUGGCGAUGAAGAGGAUGGGGAAUUCAAACAGAAGUCUUCUUUCGUGGUAUAGCCAGGGCAUGCACCACAUAUCCAGGAUAUACCUAGGAGUCUACGGCAACAACAGUGAAUGUGGGUGCGUCCCAAUAACAUCUCCCCUUUCUCCUGAAGUGUGUUCUUGUUCACUACUUCCCACAAAUAUCAAAGCAUAGUGGUUGCGGCAUGGGCUAGUGGGAGUUUCCACAUUAUUCCUUAUACCAGCCAUUUCCUUUCAAAUAAGUGAAGGAAAGUGCACACUUUGGGAGGAAGGAGAGAUAAUUGGAUAUAUGCUAAUACCACUGCCCCUUUUACCUGCUCGGUAUGGAUUGGUGUGGUUUGAUUUUAAUGUUAUCUUUUUUAAUUCCAUCUGUUUAUUAAAACUAUUUCAAUUUUUGAA